RNAcentral lists this ribosomal RNA (846 nucleotides) under Diximermis spiculatus. RNAcentral's name for it is "large subunit ribosomal RNA". The record is from RNAcentral. Lineage: Eukaryota; Metazoa; Nematoda; Enoplea; Mermithida; Mermithidae.
GUUUUAUGAUACCUUAUUUUAUUUUUCUGGUGAAUUUGAAUUAGUUAAUAAUAUUAUAAUUAUAAAUAAUCGAAAUUUAAAUUUAAAUUCAAUAUAAUAUCUGUAUUAUAUGAUAUUAAUAUUGAGUUUUAAACUGAUAAAGUUUAAUUUAAGUAAUAUCUAUUUAACUUAAUAUUUCUAAGUUGAAUUAGAAAUAAUAAUUAUAUGCUAAUCAUUACGACCAUAUUUAUGAUUAAAUGAGUAAUAAUUAAGUAUAAAAUCAUCUAGCAUUAAAUUUAAUUAAUUUUACUAAACUAUAUAAAAGAAUGUUUAUCAAAAACAUUUUUUUAAAAUUUUAAAAUAAAUUCUGUUCCAUGAUAAUUUUAAAUAAUGGUUUUAAACUUGAUUACCUUAAGGUAGCAAAAUCCAUAGAUCUUUGAUAGAGACCUUGACUGAACGGAUAAACUUUUAAUAUACUAUAAUUAGUUAAAAAAAUGAAAUUAUAUUAAAUUUGAAAAUAAAUUUAUUAUUAUUACUACGAGAAGACCCUAAGAUUUUAAAAAUACAUUUAAAAAAUUUUAAUUUGGGACAUUAAUUUAUAUUAAUUAUCACUCUUCUAUGAAAUUAGUAAAAAUACCUUAGGGAUAACAGCUUUGAAUAAUAUAGUUAUUAUUAUAAAAUGACCUCGAUGUUGAAUUCACUAUAAUAAAUUUUCAAAAUAUUUUUAAAUAAGACUGUUCGUCUAAAUUUUGUGAUGAUUUGAGUUAAGAACAUUGAAAAAUAGUUUGGUUUCUAUAGAAUAUGCUAAUAAAUUUUUUGUUUUUUAGUACGAAAGGAUUUAAAAAUAUUUAAAAUUAAUAAAAUUUU